Long non-coding RNA from Candoia aspera, 1038 nucleotides. RefSeq lists it as uncharacterized. The record is from RefSeq and is a predicted model, not a curated record. The transcript has 4 exons. NCBI's taxonomy places the organism in Eukaryota, Metazoa, Chordata, Lepidosauria, Squamata, Candoiidae.
GAGAGGAGAGGAGAGGAGAAGAGAAGAGAAGAGAAGAGAAGAGAAGAGAAGAGAAGAGAAGAGAAGAGAAGAGAAGAGAAGAGAAGAGAAGAGAAGAGAAGAGAAGAGGGGUAUGGUGACCAAGUAUUUCAAAAAGGAAUCACACAGAUUUAGAUAAAAACAGAGCCAAGAAAGUCUAUUGAAGUAUAUGGAGACUUAUAUCAGGCCAUCCUGAAUUCAAAUUUGCCCUUUGUCACCUUCUACAAGUCAAAAUCAUGGCUCCUCAUCUAAAAAUGGGACAGAAAUAGCAACUAUUUAUAAGGAUGAAUAAACAAAGAUCCUUUUUAGUUGUUCUGUAAAUGAGAAGUAGCUAUACUAGCGAUGCUUGUUCUUGUGGACAAGAUGGAUAAAUAUGGGCUAGAAGGAAGUAAUCAUUCUAUGCUCUGUGCUGAUUACGGUACACUUGGAGUGUGGGUCCGGUUCUGGGAUUUACACUUCAAAAGGGACAUAGAAAAGCUGGAGCAAGUUCAGAAGAGAGCUACCGGUAUAAUAAGGGAACGGGAACAAGCCAUCAAAGGAACAAUCAAAGGCAUGUUUAGAGAAUAUAUAUGAGAAAACUAUGAUAACAUCCUGCAAAAGUUGUCACAUGUAAGAAGGUGCUGAUGAGGUCUAAAACAUCAUUGCAGAUGGCUGAACACUUUACCGAGGUAUUCCGGAUGAAGCGUGGCCUUAUUUCCUUUUACAUUUCUAUCUCUUACUUAUUAUUUUUACUUCCCAGGGCAAUCAUGUUCAUGUAACAAGUAACAAAAAAGGGUCAUCAUGUAUAUUAUAAUAUACAUUAUAAUGUUUCAUGAUUUAUCUUGUAUGUUUCCCAAGAGAAUUGAAGGCAUAUACAAUUAAAAAGAAAACCAAAGCCUCUCUUCAAAGUUGGAGAAUUGAACUUUUAUUGAUUGAUUGAUUGAUUGAUAAAUCAAUCUAACUAACCAACUGACCUCUCAGUUUGUUUUUGCUUUAUGAAGAACUUCCCCUCCAGUAAUAACAACAAAAUAAAUGGUAAAA